Molecule: unclassified non-coding RNA, 3912 nt
Filed under: Leishmania donovani
Lineage: Eukaryota; Euglenozoa; Kinetoplastea; Trypanosomatida; Trypanosomatidae
Description: gene:LdHU3.32.1580(CDS-product:long_chain_polyuns aturated_fatty_acid_elongation_enzyme-like_protein)
Source: RNAcentral
AGUCUUCAAAUCCCCCUCGCCGCUCUUCGUCUUUCCGCUGCCACCGCAUUUCUCUUCCACACAUUCGUCCGAGCCGUCUGCACGUUGAGCGUGCCCGUGCCCCUUGCGACUGCGGCUUCGUUGGUGCAUAGUUGUCGCUUCCAGUGCCUCUCUUCUGUUGACACACACGCACGCACGCACACACGCAAACACACGAGUCUGUCAACCGCGCAGAGUGCUUUGCGGCUUGCGAGAGAUUUCUCUUGUGCUUCUGUCUGUCUGUUCCUGUACCCCUGCCUCCGAUCACGGCACCCCUUUCGCUUGCAUUGUGCCUGUGCCACUCUCUCUAAGUGCCCUGGUCAGGCUCGCCGCGGGUGACGCUGUCCUCGAGUGAGUCUCUGUUGCUCGCUAUCUUUGCUGCGCUUCCCUCGCCUUCUUCGACCUCCACCUCUGACGCAGAACGCGGCUUGUCAGCUGAGGCGUUCGUUACGUGCGUGCGUGCGCGUGUUUGGAUCUCGCUUCGGCGGGCCUCUCUCUCUUCCCGAUUGUGCGCACAUCACCGUUGCUGUGCGUAUAUGGGUCGUUAACCAACACAGUCCUCUAAGUCUUACCCACCUCUCUUUCCGCCGCACUGACACAUUCUUACACAGACACGGAACACGAGGCCAGCCCUUUUCGUCGCCGCGUCCCUCUGGUAAUAUAAGAGGGUGAAGUGCAUGCGCACGAAGGGCAGCCGCGAGCUGGAAAAGUGACACAAACGAACGACUAACAAGGAAAAAAAGCCCGGUUUGUCUCGCGCGGGUUUCUCUGCUCCCGCCUGUUCUCUGGCUUUCCGUGGCCCAGCGUUUCCGCUUAAGGAAGUAGGCCGUAUCACAUUUGCAUGCGUGCCUACCCAACGCUUGGCCCAUCUAACGAGCAGUUGUGGUUUUUUUGUCAUGUUUUUGAGUAUCCUUAAAUUUGCGUUCUUUCUGCCGUAGCAAAGGUCACCCGCUUAUUUUUUUUGUUUUUGUUGUUCGUGGCUGUUGCCUCCUUUUUGCAUACAUACGUGUCUCGUCACGUUUUCUCCCGCGCCCUCUGGAACCUCUGUGUUAACGUCUUAUCGUUCGGCGUAUCGGUCGAGAGGAAAGCCCGUCAAGUUACUUUUUUCCUUGUCGUCUGUUCGCCCCCCCCCCCACGCCUUCCAACCGUUUCUCCCGUGCUCUCUCUCUCUCUUCAUCUCAUCGUCGUGGCGAUUGGAAGGUUGUGCGACAGUUCUGUCUCGUAUGUGCAUGGCUACGCCUUCAGCGCACUGAUCGCCAUUUUAUUUCCUUUUUUUUAUAGUUGUUUGUUUGCCGCGCAUUACACCAGGCUACGCUCUUCUCAGUCUCCCUCGUUCUCACUCUGCAUUUCAACUCUACAGCGUGUCUGACGACUCGGCAAAUCAAUCAUGCUCUCUGUGGAGCAGGCAGAGCAGAUCGCGGCCGCGAUCGAGGUACCUGACUGGGUCUUGACAAAGUCUGCGGCACUCGUGUAUAGCUGCUUCGGCACCGCCGCCGAUGCUUUUGAAAGCAGUAUCAAGAUCAACUUCCCGGCGCAGCAUGCGUUCGUGGAGGCGUGGAUGCGUGCGCGCUCCCACCCUUUUGCGGUGCGCCUGCCGUACCUGAAUCCGUGGCACGGGAUCGCCUCGAUCCUGGCCUACCUGUCCUUGAUUGUCACCUUGCGCAUGCUGUAUCGCGUACUCGGUAAGUUCUCGUGUCGCACCCUCGGGUUGGUGCACAACCUCGGUCUCCAUCUUCUCUCCUUGUACAUGAGCCUUGGUCUCAUGAUCAGCGCGCGCGCCGCGGGGUACUCGCUCUGGAACAACGCGGCCGGCACCUCCCCGGCCGAGUGGCGCAUUGCGAAGCUGAUCUGGCUCUUCUAUGUCUCGAAGGUGGUGGAAUGGUUGGACACGGUAAUUAUGCUGUUAAAGCAGAACUACCGCCAGGUUACCUUCCUGCACGUGUAUCACCACACGACGGUUUUUGUGCUGUGGUGGUUGGCGUCGCUGGUCGCUCCUGGCGGCGAGUCGUACUACAGCGCCAUGGUGAACUCUGGCGUCCACGUUUUCAUGUACGGGUACUACUUUCUCACGCUGCUCUUCCCAUCGGGCAUCGUGCGCGACGUCUUGAGCAAGUUCAAGUUUGUCAUUACGAAGGGCCAGAUGUGGCAGUUCGUCUUCAACUGCCUACAGUCCACGUACGACCUCGUGUGGGUGCCGCGGGAAGAGCUCAAGUACAGUGCGGUGCUGCUGCAGAUCCUCUUCUGGUACAUGAUCUCCCUCCUGGCGCUCUUUGGCAACUUCUUGGUGAAGAACAAGAACUUCUCGCACCGCCGCCGCGUUGAUGCCGCGACUGGUUCGGGCGCGAAGGAGGACACGGCGGGGAGGUCCUACGGCGACCGCACUCACGGAACCCGUGUGAAGGUUGGGAUUACCAACAUGCAACUGGAGACGCUAAAGAAUGAAAAGGUCGCGGAGCUGAAGCGGCUGAUGCACAAGAAUGGCAACGGCAACGGACAAAAAGCCUCGCUCGAGGCCACGGCAGGCAGCCGAUGAUGGACAACUCGAACCCCGCAGUCCUGGAAGACAGUGUUUCCUGCGAGAAAGGACACUGCAGUGGGUGGGAUGAUUUCGUCGGCACUAGAUUUCCACUUUUGGCUGCUUCGCCACGGUGCUGCACCGUGCGCGCCAAAUAGAGCGCAUUAUGAUCUCCGUGUGUUGUGUGUGCUUUUGUGUGUCCCAGUGACAGCGAGUACGCUUUUUGUUGUUUUGUUGCAGCACUAUAUAUCGGCGAGGGCGUGUGUGCGUCUCUCGCCCUUGGGCUACGCAGAACGAAUCAAUGUGUCUGUGUGCGGGUAAGCUUUCCGUUUUCCUUUUCUUCACAUUCACACAGGCGGGAACUCGCACAUAGUCGAGCGGUUAGUGGCAGUACGGAUGCGCCUUGUGCCCCUGAUGCACCGAUGGAAAUUGCUGCAGUGCUUUUUGUGUUUUGUGGUGCCUUUCUUGAUUGAUGAAUCUUCGUGUAUCUUCUGGUUUGUGUGUGUGUGUGUGUGUGUGUGCCUGUGCUUCGAUUCAUGUUGAGGUUCGUUGUUGUUGUUCUCUUUCUUCUUUGUAUGGAGGGCGGGGGCGGGGAAGACGUGUCAUGAGACGCCAGAGAUGCCUCCCCUCUCCUGUGUCCUGUAUACAUGUGUUUCGUAUUUUGCUCUUCCUUUCCACAUGCAUUGCGAGUGGUGCAUUGAUUUCGAGCGAUGAGGAGGGAGUCGGGUGGGGUGAGAGGGGUGGGGAAGGGGCUACGCGAGUUUCUCCCUUGUGUUUAUGUCGCAUCUCUCUUUCCGUGGGUGUGUUUACACCUGGCUUCCUCAUUGCACAUCUGCUUGCCACCCAUCGACCCGAUCUCUGGAGUAUCUUCGCUUCCUUUUUUUUCUUUGUCUCGGUGCUCUCUCUCUCUAACGGCACGAUGCGCUCAAAUGGUAGAUGUUGGUGGAGGACAGGGUUGUGCACUGUGAUGAAUUUUGGCAGAUGCCACGACCACCGUAUGUCGUCGUCGGCCACGUGGGCUCGCGGCCCUUCUUCCUUCUUUCAGAGAGCGUGCCAUCUGUACACGAAGGUUGAGGAAACGAAGAGCUCUUCGUCCUCUGUUCUUGCCUUUCUGUGGUGUGCGCCAGUGAGGAAGAAUUCACCGCCUUUGUGGUGUCGCGAUGACGCCUUUUAGCAGGAAUUCAUGUGUGUUCGUCGCUCGUGUGUAUGUGCAUCGAGCACAGCCGCUAAACCUUGUCUGUUCCUUUCUCGUUCUGCGUCAACUUCUUGUGUUCUUUCCUCCCACGCUUUUCAGUUACUCUAGCCGAUGCGCCGACCUGUGUGCUACUCUUCAUGCGCACGUGUCUUGCCCACGGCCAUGUAUGCCGGCUUACUAAACG